RNAcentral lists this unclassified non-coding RNA (497 nucleotides) under Hevea brasiliensis (rubber tree). Lineage: Eukaryota; Viridiplantae; Streptophyta; Magnoliopsida; Malpighiales; Euphorbiaceae. The record is from RNAcentral.
AAGAAAUCAUGGGGAGUUCUUUGAUAGAUAAAUCAUCAUUUGUAUCAAUGUCAUCUAAAGUGCUCUUUAACCAUAGUUUUCAUCAAGAGAAUCAGUUCUUAGUGAAACCAGUUUUGGUGCCUCUGCAAUACGGAAAGCUUAGUGUAAAAAGAGCUGUGAGAGGUCCUGUUGCAGCUAUCAGUGAAGAUUUGAUCAAGGCUAAUAGUAGUAGUAAUACUGUGCCUGAAAACGCAGUGAAGUUUAAGGUGAGAGCUGUUGUCACCGUGAGAAACAAGCACAAGGAGGAUUUGAAGGAGACCAUUGCCAAGCACUGGGAUGCUUUUGCUGAUAAGAUUGGGCGAAAUGUUGUUUUGGAGCUCAUUAGUUCUGAAGUUGAUCCAAAAACCAAGGAACCAAAGAGAAGCAAGGAAGCUGUGUUAAAGGACUGGUCCAAGAAAACAAAUGUUAAGGCUGAGAGGGUCCAUUAUGCAGCUGAAUUUCUAGUGGAUUCCAAUUUU